UUUCCGUAGGUGAACCUGCGGGAGGAUCAUUAUUGCAUAACCGAGGUUCGAGGGCUGUCGCUGACCCGGCAGUGCGUUCACGCCCGAUUGCGCUCACACACAUGCAUCACACCCCUACUUGCUCCACCGCGUGGGUCCCCCUUUUACUUGGGGGGAGAGGGGCUUACGUUUUUACACCAACUUUGGAUGCAGUGUGGAAUUUAUUUUUUGUUUUGUCGAUCACGCAAGCCAUACAACUUUCAGCAAUGGAUACCUUGGCUCUCGCAUGCAUGAAGAACG
This 279-nucleotide unclassified non-coding RNA is filed under the name plant metagenome. RNAcentral's name for it is "partial contains small subunit ribosomal RNA, internal transcribed spacer 1, and 5.8S ribosomal RNA". The record is from RNAcentral.